GCAGUCUGGUGCCAGCAGCCGCGGUAAUUCCAGCUCCAAUAGCGUAUAUUAAAGUUGUUGCAGUUAAAACGUCCGUAGUCAAACUUUAGUCUUACCGGCGUAGUGGCCUGGUCUUCAUUGACCAAGCUCAUUGCUGCCGGAGACUCCACGUCCAUUGACUCCUAGUCCUCGUGGCUAGGGUUUUCUGGACAAUUACCAUGAGCAAAUCAGAGUGUUUAAAGCAGGCUUUUAAGCUUGAAUGUGUUAGCAUGGAAUAAUGAAAUAUGACUUUAGUCCUAUUUUCGUUGGUUUAGGUACUUCAGUAAUGAUGAAUAGAAACGGUUAGGGGCAUUUGUAUUUGGUCGCUAGAGGUGAAAUUCUUGGAUUGACCGAAGACAAACUACUGCGAAAGCAUUUGCCAA
Molecule: ribosomal RNA, 401 nt
Filed under: uncultured fungus
Lineage: Eukaryota; Fungi
Description: SSU rRNA
Rfam family: Eukaryotic small subunit ribosomal RNA
Source: RNAcentral